GCCAGCAGCCAUAUCAACCUGCAACUCACAACUGGCAACCCACUGAAGCUCAGCAGGUAUGAGGCUGGUCAGUACCUGGAUGGGAGACCUUGUUGGAAAAACUAAGGUUUCUGCUGGAA
This 119-nucleotide ribosomal RNA is filed under the name Lepisosteus oculatus (spotted gar). The record is from RNAcentral. Lineage: Eukaryota; Metazoa; Chordata; Actinopteri; Semionotiformes; Lepisosteidae.